RNAcentral lists this ribosomal RNA (444 nucleotides) under uncultured Anoxybacillus sp. RNAcentral's name for it is "bacterial SSU rRNA". It matches the Rfam family "Bacterial small subunit ribosomal RNA", at positions 936 to 1382 of the family's 1533-position model. The record is from RNAcentral. Lineage: Bacteria; Bacillati; Bacillota; Bacilli; Caryophanales; Anoxybacillaceae.
AGCAUGUGGUUUAAUUCGACGCAACGCGAAGAACCUUACCAGGGCUUGACAUCCCCUGACCGCGUAUGAAAGUACGUUUUCACCUCGGGUGACAGGGAGACAGGUGGUGCAUGGUUGUCGUCAGCUCGUGUCGUGAGAUGUUGGGUUAAGUCCCGCAACGAGCGCAACCCUUGUCUUUAAUUGCCAGCAUUCAGUUGGGCACUUUAAGGUGACUGCCGGCUAAAAGUCGGAGAAGUGGGGAUGACGUCAAAUCAUCAUGCCCCUUAUGACCUGGGCUACACACGUGCUACAAUGGGCGGUACAAAGGGUCGCGAACCCGCGAGGGGGAGCCAAUCCCAAAAAGCCGCUCUCAGUUCGGAUUGCAGGCUGCAACUCGCCUGCAUGAAGCCGGAAUCGCUAGUAAUCGCGGAUCAGCAUGCCGCGGUGAAUACGUUCCCGGGCCUU